Non-coding RNA from Nephila pilipes (giant wood spider), 76 nucleotides. Lineage: Eukaryota; Metazoa; Arthropoda; Arachnida; Araneae; Nephilidae. The record is from the annotation of a GenBank genome assembly.
UCCAGGAUGGCCGAAUGGUUAUGGCAUCAGACUUGUUAAGUUGGGGAUUGUGCAGGUUCGAAUCCUGCUCCUGGGC